RNAcentral lists this small nuclear RNA (107 nucleotides) under Neotoma lepida (desert woodrat). The record is from RNAcentral. Lineage: Eukaryota; Metazoa; Chordata; Mammalia; Rodentia; Cricetidae.
GUGCUCCCUUCGGCAGCACAUAUACUAAUAUUGGAAUGAUACAGAGAAGAUUAGCAUGGCCUCUGUGCAAGGAUGACAUGCAAAUUCGUGAAGCGUUCUAUAUUUAA